Molecule: ribosomal RNA, 497 nt
Filed under: uncultured bacterium
Lineage: Bacteria
Description: bacterial SSU rRNA
Rfam family: Bacterial small subunit ribosomal RNA
Source: RNAcentral
GAUCCUGGCUCAGGAUGAACGCUAGCGGCAGGCUUAAUACAUGCAAGUCGAACGGGAUUCGGUGUAGCAAUACAUUGAUGAGAGUGGCGCACGGGUGCGUAACGCGUAUGCAACCUACCUUUAACAGGUGAAUAGCCCCGAGAAAUCGGGAUUAAUACACCGUAACAUUGCGGGAUGGCAUCAUUCUGCAAUUAAAGAUUUAUCGGUUAAAGAUGGGCAUGCGUGACAUUAGCUAGUUGGUGAGGUAACGGCUCACCAAGGCGACGAUGUCUAGGGGUCCUGAGAGGGUUAUCCCCCACACUGGUACUGAGACACGGACCAGACUCCUACGGGAGGCAGCAGUAAGGAAUAUUGGUCAAUGGGCGCAAGCCUGAACCAGCCAUGCCGCGUGCAGGAAGACGGCCCUAUGGGUUGUAAACUGCUUUUGUCAGGGAAUAAACCUGUCUACGAGUAGGCAGCUGAAGGUACCUGAAGAAUAAGCAUCGGCUAACUCCGUG